Molecule: ribosomal RNA, 504 nt
Filed under: uncultured bacterium
Lineage: Bacteria
Description: partial 16S ribosomal RNA
Rfam family: Bacterial small subunit ribosomal RNA
Source: RNAcentral
GAUGAACGCUAGCGGCAGGCCUAACACAUGCAAGUCGAGGGGUAGCAGGAUUAAGCUUGCUUAAUUGCUGACGACCGGCGCACGGGUGCGUAACGCGUAUGCAACCUGCCCCCAACUAGGGAAUAACCUUGCGAAAGUAAGACUAAUACCCUAUAAUUUCCUCAGAUGUCAUCUGACGAGGAAUAAAGAUUUAUCGGUUGUGGAUGGGGAUGCGUCUGAUUAGCUUGUUGGCGGGGUAACGGCCCACCAAGGCAACGAUCAGUAGGGGUUAUGAGAGGAAGGUCCCCCACAUUGGAACUGAGACACGGUCCAAACUCCUACGGGAGGCAGCAGUGAGGAAUAUUGGUCAAUGGGCGGAAGCUUGAACCAGCCAAGUAGCGUGCAGGAUGACGGCCCUAUGGGUUGUAAACUGCUUUUAUACAGGAAUAAAGUUAGCCACGUGUGGUUAUUUGUAGGUACUGUAUGAAUAAGGACCGGCUAAUUCCGUGCCAGCAGCCGCCGUAA